Molecule: ribosomal RNA, 473 nt
Filed under: uncultured bacterium
Lineage: Bacteria
Description: bacterial SSU rRNA
Rfam family: Bacterial small subunit ribosomal RNA
Source: RNAcentral
GCACAGGUGGUGCAUGGCUGUCGUCAGCUCGUGUCGUGAGAUGUUGGGUUAAGUCCCGCAACGAGCGCAACCCUUGUCCUAUGUUGCCGGCGGGUAAUGCCGGGGACUCGUAGGAGACUGCCGGGGUCAACUCGGAGGAAGGUGGGGACGACGUCAAGUCAUCAUGCCCCUUACAUCCAGGGCUGCACACAUGCUACAAUGGCUGGUACAACGGGCUGCUAAUCCGCGAGGAGGAGCUAAUCCCCAAAGCCAGUCUCAGUUCGGAUCGCAGUCUACAACUCGACUGCGUGAAGUCGGAGUCGCUAGUAAUCCCGGAUCAGCAACGCCGGGGUGAAUACGUUCCCGGGCCUUGUACACACCGCCCGUCACACCACGAAAGUCGGCAACACCCGAAGCCGGUGGCCCAACCUUUUAGGAGGGAGCCGUCGAAGGUGGGGUCGGUGAUUGGGGUGAAGUCGUAACAAGGUAACCGU